RNAcentral lists this long non-coding RNA (969 nucleotides) under Homo sapiens (human). RNAcentral's name for it is "non-protein coding MMP25-AS1:27". Lineage: Eukaryota; Metazoa; Chordata; Mammalia; Primates; Hominidae. The record is from RNAcentral.
AUGCAUCUGUGCAUCCAUCCAUCCCUGCCUCUGUGCAUGCAUCUGUCCAUCCAUCCCCGCCUCUGUGCAUGCAUCUGUCCAUCCAUCCCCACCUCUGUGCAUGCAUCUGUCCGUACAUCCAUCCCUGCCUCUGUGCAUGCAUCUGUCCAUUCAUCCCUGCCUCUGUGCAUGCAUCUGUCCAUCCAUCCAUCCCCGCCUCUGUGCAUGCAUCUGUCCAUCCAUCCCUGCCUCUGUGCAUGCAUCUGUCCAUUCAUCCCUGCCUCUGUGCAUGCAUCUGUCCAUCCAUCCAUCCCUGCCUCUGUGCAUGCAUCUGUCCAUUCAUCCCUGCCUCUGUGCAUGCAUCUGUCCAUCCAUCCAUCCCUGCCUCUGUGCAUGCAUCUGUCCAUUCAUCCCUGCCUCUGUGUAUGCAUCUGUCCAUCCAUCCAUCCCCACCUCUGUGCAUGCAUCUGUCCAUCCAUCCCCGCCUCUGUGCAUGCAUCUGUCCGUCCAUCCAUCCCUGCCUCUGUGCAUGCAUCUGUCCGUCCAUUCAUCCCUGCCUCUGUGCAUGCAUCUGUCCAUUCAUCCAUCCCUGACUCUGUGCAUGCAUCUGUCCAUCCAUCCAUCCUUGCCUCUAUGCAUGCAUUUGUCCGUCCAUCCAUCCCUGCCUCUGUGCAUGCAUCCAUACCUGCCUCUGUGCAUGCAUCUGUCAGUCUAUCAAUCCCCGAUCCCUUCUUUGUAAUGGUGUUGAGCGCUCACAACUCCCUCAUCCUAAGACGCUCGUUGGAUCCAUUCCCUCCCCUCACCCCAUGCUGCUCUCUGCCCUCCCUUCCCGGUCAAGUUCUCCAGCCAGUGGUCUCAACUCAAUCUUCACUUCCCCCGCUCCUCUCACACCUAUCCCCACUGCAUUCUAAAUUCUUCCCCAACGCGCUGGGCCUACAGGCACUAAAAAGGUCACUUUGUCCCUGGAUGACCAAACACAGGCCAAUGUAA